This 253-nucleotide ribosomal RNA is filed under the name uncultured bacterium. Its description in RNAcentral is "partial 16S ribosomal RNA". It matches the Rfam family "Bacterial small subunit ribosomal RNA", at positions 524 to 776 of the family's 1533-position model. The record is from RNAcentral.
UACGGGUGGUGCUAGUGUUAUUCCUCAUGACUAGGCGUAAAGGGUGCGUAGGUGGCGCCGUAAGUCAGGUGUGAAAUCCCGGGGCUCAACCCCGGAACUGCACUUGAUACUGCGGUGCUCGAGUACUGGAGAGGAGAUUGGAAUUUACGGUGUAGCAGUGAAAUGCGUAGAUAUCGUAAGGAAGACCAGUGGCGAAGGCGAAUCUCUGGACAGUUACUGACACUGAGGCACGAAGGCCAGGGGAGCAAACGGG